Spodoptera frugiperda (fall armyworm) is the source of this 522-nucleotide long non-coding RNA. RefSeq lists it as uncharacterized. Lineage: Eukaryota; Metazoa; Arthropoda; Insecta; Lepidoptera; Noctuidae. The transcript has 2 exons. The record is from RefSeq and is a predicted model, not a curated record.
CGUUAAUGUUUUUACAAAUUAAAUGUGUUAUAUGGGCCUCGAAUAGCUCAAUGAGGUACCGCGAACAUAAAAAUGAUAGGAUUAUUAAACAUCUUACUAAUAAUCGUUUCAACAAAAUGACCAACAUUUAAUAUAGUAUUAAAUACAUUGGCAAGUCAUUAAAGAGAUUAAGUCAGUAUAAAUAGCAGUUUACAUAAGAAUAUGUACUACAGUGCAUAAUCACCAGUUGUGUUGUGACAAGUGAUCAUAUAAUAUUAUUGUAAAUAUGAAGUUCUAUCUCUUUGCUUUGGCAGUGCUUCUCGCCGUCAUUUCUACCGUUCUAGCCGAUCCCGGGGGCAUAAAGAUCCCUGAUUGUCCAGAUGGAUAUUAUAACAGGGGUGGUUUCUGCGUUCCAGAUUACGACUACUAGCCUGAUGUUCCUACACCGCAGCAGCGUCCUUUGUGAUUAUCCGUAGUUUUAUGAUGAAGUGAUCAAAUCCUUAGAAAAAUGUAAUCAUAAAAAUAAAUGUACACAAAUUAUAA